UCGGUCCGGCAACGGAUAUCUCGGCUCUCGCAUCGAUGAAGAACGUAGCGAAAUGCGAUACUUGGUGUGAAUUGCAGAAUCCCGUGAACCAUCGAGUCUUUGAACGCAAGUUGCGCCCCAAGCCUUCUGGCCGAGGGCACGUCUGCCUGGGUGUCA
Molecule: ribosomal RNA, 156 nt
Filed under: Brassica napus (rape)
Lineage: Eukaryota; Viridiplantae; Streptophyta; Magnoliopsida; Brassicales; Brassicaceae
Description: rRNA 5_8S_rRNA
Rfam family: 5.8S ribosomal RNA
About the family: 5.8S ribosomal RNA (5.8S rRNA) is a component of the large subunit of the eukaryotic ribosome. It is transcribed by RNA polymerase I as part of the 45S precursor that also contains 18S and 28S rRNA.
Source: RNAcentral